RNAcentral lists this ribosomal RNA (492 nucleotides) under Triticum aestivum (bread wheat). Its description in RNAcentral is "partial small subunit ribosomal RNA". The record is from RNAcentral. Lineage: Eukaryota; Viridiplantae; Streptophyta; Magnoliopsida; Poales; Poaceae.
AUGAACCGGUCCCUGCAGGAGAGAGAAAGAAAGAGAGGAGGGAGAAAGCGAGAGGAAAGGGAGAGGGAGGUGCGACGGCGGGCGGGAGAGGGUCUCCGGCUGGUGCGAGACAUUCACGUCUCUCCUCCUCUCCUGCUCUCGACCACCACCGUGGCCCUCCUUCUCCCCUUCAAUUCCCUGUCUCCUCUUCUCUGGAGUUACCUGAGUGGUCAACACCGAGAAAGAUGGGGAAGACAGAGCCAGCGAGGAAGACGGCUUGACUCUGCCGCCGAUGCUGACCGGCCAAUUCCGUCGGGCGCCGUCAUGGGAGGAGGUGAACCAUCGAGGAGCAGCACGGGAGGAGAUAAAGAUAAGCCGCCGGUCUCCCGGUUCACUUCUGGUUGCAUCUUGCCCGUGAGCUCCUUCUUCUUACAGCCAGCUUGGCCCUUUUCUCGCCAUCUUUUGGGUAAUGCAGCGUAUCAAGCAGGCGAAGGCGAGGAUCAGAUGCGGUAG